UACGUAGGGUGCAAGCGUUGUCCGGAUUUAUUGGGCGUAAAGAGCUCGUAGGCGGUUCAGUAAGUCGGGUGUGAAAACUCUAGGCUCAACCUGGAGACGCCACUCGAUACUGCUGUGACUUGAAUCUGGUAGGGGAGCACGGAAUUCCUGGUGUAGCGGUGAAAUGCAUAGAUAUCAGGAGGAACACCGGUGGCGAAGGCGGUGCUCUGGGCCAGUAUUGACGCUGAGGAGCGAAAGCGUGGGUAGCGAACAGG
Molecule: ribosomal RNA, 254 nt
Filed under: uncultured bacterium
Lineage: Bacteria
Description: partial 16S ribosomal RNA
Rfam family: Bacterial small subunit ribosomal RNA
Source: RNAcentral